AGUCGAACGAACAUUUAAGACAGAUUACUUCGGUUUGAAGUCUUUUAUGACUGAGUGGCGGACGGGUGAGUAACGCGUGGGUAACCUGCCUCAUACAGGGGGAUAGCAGCUGGAAACGGCUGGUAAUACCGCAUAAGCGCACAGUACCACAUGGUACAGUGUGAAAAACUCCGGUGGUAUGAGAUGGACCCGCGUCUGAUUAGCUGGUUGGCGGGGUAACGGCCCACCAAGGCGACGAUCAGUAGCCGACCUGAGAGGGUGACCGGCCACAUUGGGACUGAGACACGGCCCAGACUCCUACGGGAGGCAGCAGUGGGGAAUAUUGCACAAUGGAGGAAACUCUGAUGCAGCGACGCCGCGUGAGCGAAGAAGUAGUUCGCUAUGUAAAGCUCUAUCAGCAGGGAAGAUAGUGACGGUACCUGACUAAGAAGCUCCGGCUAAAUACGUGCCAGCAGCCGCGGUAAUACGUAGGGGGCAAGCGUUAUCCGGAAUUACUGGGUGUAAAGGGAGCGUAGGCGGCACGCCAAGCCAGAUGUGAAAGCCCGAGGCUUAACCUCGCGGAUUGCAUUUGGAACUGGCGAGCUAGAGUACAGGAGAGGAAAGCGGAAUUCCUAGUGUAGCGGUGAAAUGCGUAGAUAUUAGGAAGAACACCAGUGGCGAAGGCGGCUUUCUGGACUGAAACUGACGCUGAGGCUCGAAAGCGUGNGGAGCAAACAGGANUAGAUACCCUGGUAGUCCACGCCGUAAACGAUGAGUGCUAGGUGUCGGGG
This 770-nucleotide ribosomal RNA is filed under the name uncultured bacterium. RNAcentral describes it as "bacterial SSU rRNA". It matches the Rfam family "Bacterial small subunit ribosomal RNA", at positions 60 to 828 of the family's 1533-position model. The record is from RNAcentral.